Molecule: transfer RNA, 87 nt
Filed under: Firmicutes bacterium CAG:65
Lineage: Bacteria; Bacillati; Bacillota
Also listed under: 2 other names
Description: transfer RNA-Leu(TAA)
Rfam family: tRNA
About the family: Transfer RNA (tRNA) molecules are approximately 80 nucleotides in length. Their secondary structure includes four short double-helical elements and three loops (D, anti-codon, and T loops).
Source: RNAcentral
GCUGGUGUGGCGGAAUAGGCAGACGCAAGGGACUUAAAAUCCCUCGGGGGCAACUCCGUGCCGGUUCAAGUCCGGCCACCAGCAUCA